This 82-nucleotide microRNA precursor is filed under the name Ornithorhynchus anatinus (platypus). Its description in RNAcentral is "let-7b stem-loop (oan-let-7b)". Its record names the gene oan-let-7b. It matches the Rfam family "let-7 microRNA precursor family". From Rfam's summary of the family: This family represents the microRNAs (miRNA) let-7 and mir-98. let-7 was identified from a study of developmental timing in C. elegans, and was later shown to be part of a much larger class of non-coding RNAs termed miRNAs. The extents of the hairpin precursors are not generally known and are estimated based on hairpin prediction. The products are thought to have regulatory roles through complementarity to mRNA. Lineage: Eukaryota; Metazoa; Chordata; Mammalia; Monotremata; Ornithorhynchidae. The record is from miRBase by way of RNAcentral.
GGGAUGAGGUAGUAGGUUGUGUGGUUUCAGGGGAGUGAUUUUGCCCCAAUCAGAAGAUAACUAUACAGCCUACUGCCUUCCC